GUGUCAGCAGCCGCGGUAAUACGUAGGAGGCGAGCGUUGUCCGGAUUUACUGGGCGUAAAGCGCGCGCAGGCGGCAGUGCAAGUAAGGUGUGAAAUCUCCCUGCUCAACGGGGAGGGUGCACUUUAGACUGCACAGCUCGAGGUCGGUAGAGGGGGGUGGAAUUGCUGGUGUAGCGGUGAAAUGCGUAGAGAUCAGCAGGAACACCCGUGGCGAAGGCGGCCCCCUGGGCCGUACCUGACGCUGAGGCGCGAAGGCUAGGGGAGCGAACGGGAUUAGAAACCCCCGUAGUCC
This 292-nucleotide ribosomal RNA is filed under the name uncultured bacterium. RNAcentral describes it as "partial 16S ribosomal RNA". It matches the Rfam family "Bacterial small subunit ribosomal RNA", at positions 505 to 796 of the family's 1533-position model. The record is from RNAcentral.